CAUGUCCUGCCAUAAUGAUAAUGGACUAAACCUCCAAAACGGCCAGCAUCCCUAAGGAAGGAGGGACUGGGGAAGCCACACUUGUAAGCAUGAGAAAAUGGUGUCUACUGCAGACCAGAGGAACAGAGGAACAGAACAAAAGACUCUCAAAAUUCAUGGGAAAGAACAAUGCUGCUGGAAUGAAUUUAGAGGAAAUACAAGCUAAACUUGAUUUUUAAAAAUAAAAGCCAGUGUCUAAGACUG
This is a long non-coding RNA of Mesocricetus auratus (golden hamster), 243 nucleotides long. RefSeq lists it as uncharacterized. The transcript has 2 exons. The record is from RefSeq and is a predicted model, not a curated record. NCBI's taxonomy places the organism in Eukaryota, Metazoa, Chordata, Mammalia, Rodentia, Cricetidae.